Molecule: ribosomal RNA, 879 nt
Filed under: uncultured organism
Description: SSU rRNA
Rfam family: Bacterial small subunit ribosomal RNA
Source: RNAcentral
UCAUUAUGAACGCUAGCGGCAGGCUUAACACAUGCAAGUCGAGGGGCAGCAUGAAGUAGCAAUACUUUGAUGGCGACCGGCGGACGGGUGCGUAACGCGUAUGCAACCUACCUUAAACAGGGGGAUAACACUGAGAAAUUGGUACUAAUACCCCAUAUUAUUCGAGACGGCAUCGUCUUGGGUUGAAAACUCCGGUGGUUUAAGAUGGGCAUGCGUUGUAUUAGCUGGUUGGUGAGGUAACGGCUCACCAAGGCGACGAUACAUAGGGGGACUGAGAGGUCAACCCCACACAUUGGUACUGAGACACGGACCAAACUCCUACGGGAGGCAGCAGUGAGGAAUAUUGGUCAAUGGACGCAAGUCUGAACCAGCCAUGCCGCGUGCAGGAAGACGGCUCUAUGAGUUGUAAACUGCUUUUGUACGAGGGUAACAGCAUCUACGCGUAGGUGCAUGAAAGUAUCGUACGAAUAAGGAUCGGCUAACUCCGUGCCAGCAGCCGCGGUAAUACGGAGGAUCCAAGCGUUAUCCGGAUUUAUUGGGUUUAAAGGGUGCGUAGGCGGUUUUAUAAGUUAGAGGUUAAAUAUCGGAGCUUAACUCCGUUAUGCCUCUAAUACUGUAGGACUAGAGAAUAGUUGCGGUAGGCGGAAUGUAUGGUGUAGCGGUGAAAUGCUUAGAGAUCAUACAGAACACCGAUUGCGAAGGCAGCUUACCAAACUAUGACUGACGUUGAGGCACGAAAGCGUGGGGAGCAAACAGGAUUAGAUACCCUGGUAGUCCACGCAGUAAACGAUGAUAACUCGUUGUCGGCGAUACACAGUCGGUGACUAAGCGAAAGCGAUAAGUUAUCCACCUGGGGAGUACGUUCGCCAGAAUGAAACU